CUAGUUGAAAGGUCAAAUUCUACUAAUCAUUAAACAUGAGAAUUGCCUGAAUAGACUGAAUUGAGUUGAAUAUUGGUUAGCAUUUUAAAAGUUUAGGAUUAGGAUUUAUGACAGUGGCAUAUUUGUUAACCAAACUGUCUUUUGUCAAGGAGUGGAGAAUGUGUGUCAAUUACUUCAGUUUACAGAUUUGAAUAAUGAAGGAUAGACUCGAUAGAGCGUGUGAAACUUUUGUUUUCUAAUUUGAUGAUGUAUUAAGUUUACAGAUUCAAAUAAUGAAGGAUAUACUCGAUAGAGCAUGUGAACUUUUGGUUUUCUAAUUUGGUGAUGUAGAUGUUCCAUGAUGUUGCCUUAGUCCAUAUUCUAUUUUGGAGUGGAUUGCCUACUGCAAAUUUGUUUUUUCGUUUUUUCUAAAUCAAAGAACUAAUUGAAUUGUCUACCGCAAAUUGUUUUGGAGUUUAUAUGGUUGUUUGUAAUAUUUUUGCUUGUGUUUCCUUCUUAAAGAUCCUGGAUCUACAUUAUAUUGAAAUAAAGAAGGUAAAUUGCAUUCCUGUUUAGGUCUAGUUACCUAUAUGACCCCUUAUCUAUAUUCUUUGUAGUUCAUGGCUACAUAUGCAGAAUAGUUUAGAGUCUUAUUUAUUGUAAUACAUAUCAUGUUAUGUAACCGUCUAUCUUUGCUCUUGCAACUGAAAUAUGAUUGACCUUAAAUGAGAGGUAAUUCCCGUGCAUUUUCUGAAUCUUUGUAUGCUUCUGACGGCAGAGCUUUUAGAUUUAUUUUUUUGUUGGCAUGCAAGUGUGAGCUCUGAGAAGUAUUGAGAUCAGGUGUAUUGGUGAGUCUCUUUCUCUCCCUUUUUCCCAAUAGAUGCGCAGGUCCCUUAAUUAGUUUAGGGAAGUUGAAUGUUGAAGUGAUUGAUGAGGAGACGGUAUGAAGACCUUAGUAAAUUGCCCAUUCUCUGCUCCAUGGAACAGUUUAAAUUUAUUCUUAUCUUAUUGAGAUCUGGAUUGUUGCCAUUUUAUGGUUUAUUGGAGCUGUUUUAUUUAACUCGUUAUAAUCGUUUACUAUUAAGUUGAAAAUGAUGCUUUAGCUCUGAGAUAUCACUGUCCUCUCAUUUAAUUGAAAGUACCAACUUAUCUGUAUUUGUCCUUAACUCUUUCAUUUUGAAUGAAAAUGGCACUACUGUUCCAUAUUACCUUGUUGAUGGGAAAUGAACUGCUCAUUUCUCUCAAAUGUGCCUCUAUAAAACUUGAAGCUUUCAACCAGGAUUUGAAAUUACAUAUUUGUUCAUGUAUCAUUUUCUUGAAGAAUGCUAGCUGAUGAAUUUUAUCAUCAAAUUACUUGGUUUGUUGUUCUAUAUGCUGUACUGAAAUAAGUAUCAUUGAUGAGGUUGUAAUUAUUGCCAUUAUGUUUUUUUUGCCCAAAAUAAGAACUUUAUGCUAUUAUUUGGUUGUUAGAACUAGUAAUGGAACUAUGAAUUUUUUUUUAGAUUGAUAUGAUUGGAAUUCAUUGUUGAUGAGCACAUGCUUGACUACUCUCGAGAAAGGCAAUAGGAUUUGCUUCAGAUGGGAGGGAGAGUAUAUUGGAUUCUGUUAUUAUUAGAAUACGUCUUCAUAUUUUUUUUUUGGGCAUUUUUCAUGGAAAGGCUCCUUAAUGCUGCUUCAGUUUGAGAGUUCCUUGGUUUUUCACCAUAUGUUAGAUGUGGUUCUUUUGGGGUAUGUUUGCCCACCUGUUUUCUUCUUCCUUAUUGUCAACUAGUUGCAUUUAUCAAAGAAUUGCUCUGUUUGCACGAGUCAUUUAAUAACUUUUGGCUCGAGAAUAGUUAGAUUCAUAAGAUGAGCUGUAUUCUUUGUUUCCUUCAAAUAUUUUUCUUGUGAUAACAUACUUAACUCAUUUACGAGCAGUUUCUUGUGAUAUCUGAAAUUAAGUAGAUGUUGUCAACUCUUUCUGAUCCAAGUUUUUUAAUCCUUAAUUAAAAUUCUUCUUCUUUUCUCAAAACAAAUUCUUAUGUCCAUCUGCAUGGAUAGGUGGCAAUUUGAUGAUGUUUUGAAUGUUCAUUGCAUAUUUUUUUAUACUGUUGCAGGAUUGCGUAGUGCAAAGUGUUAGUCAUAUCAUAAUCAAAAUAACUUUUUAUUCUCUGUUCCUGCCUUUUUCUAGAAGUAAAAUUUCCGUGAUAAUCAAAUGGAGUGUAAUUUGAGAAAAGAUGUUGCAAAAAUAUGUGGAGUGCUGCUGUUUAUCUAUCAGAUCAUCAAAAUGAGUCAGUUUAAACAAAUAUAGCAGUAUAACUUUGAUCGCUCAGAUUUUGUUUUUAUAAUGAGCCUUUUGUAAUAUAUAUAUAUAUAUUCAGGAAGUACUUUGGAUACUGGCUCUUUAACUAUGCCAACAUGUCGAGGACUGUUAUUUUAAGAGCCUGCUUUUAGACAUGGGAAGUUCUUUUAAAUGUUUUUCUGUAGGUUAUUUAGGUUGUUGGACAGGCACAGUAUGCUCCACAGAAGAUGGGAGAGAUUACUGGUGAUCCAAUCAUGCAACCCUAAUAGAUGUCUCAUUAUCCGCUUUAUAUGCGACUUUCAAUGCCUAGGUCCUAACCCUUCCAAAGUUUGACUGAAAUGCGUUUGAAUUGCUGCAUUUAACUGGAACCAAAUAUGAAAGUCGCCCUUGGUUUAUUCUUAUCCAAUAGGCUGCACUGCAAUUUAGAAGUGACUUUAAAACUCAAAUUACUGAUAUUCCUCUAUUGGACUGUAGCUUUAGGAUAAGAAGACAUAAUAGAACAUUCUGCAUAUUAUAUUUAAUCACCAAAAAGUUGAUAGAAUCAUGCAAAACGCAAUGCUGUAUUUCUUUUUCAGCAUUCCGUUGUUGACGAGCAUGAGCUUUAGAGGAGCAAUGCUUGUCACAACCUCCUCAACAUGAAACUUCUACAUCUUUGGAUUGUCGACAUCAAACAUACACCAUUGUACAGUAGUUAGAAUGGUAAGUGAUUCAAAUCAAAUUUCUUUGGUCAAGGGUGUGCAUUUGCUUAAAGGUAUUGGUACUUAUCUGAAGUUUUGAUGUGAAUUAUCUCUUAGUGGAGAAGUUGAAGUUAUAUAUAUAUGUUUGUGUAUGCCGUACAGUAAUUUACAUUUCUUCAAUAUGCUCAGUUUUAGUAGCUGGAUUUUUGCUUCAAGUAAUUUUUGCACUUGUAAAUUCAGGUUGUGAUUGUGCUUUGGACUGAAAAAUGGGGUUUCCUUAGCUUUUUUUUUUUUGGAUUUCCAAUAGUUUAUAGGUUCUAAAGGAUGCGAAAAAGAUUGAACUGCAAUCUGUUUAUUUUGUUAACCUCUAUUUCCCUAAUGAGUAUUUUAGUUUUGUGUUUCUGCACUGGAAUUUGGUUCUCAGAGUACAAGACAUCUUUUUGUCAUGAUAUUUAACUUAGAUUUUGUAUUGCUUCACUUUGGUUCAAUGGUUCAGGUGUAGAUGAAGGGCACAUGCUCCAUGUUCCGACUCAGAUGUUCUGAAGAAGUUAGGGUGAAUUGAAGAGUUGGUUAAUAAGGGAUAUCACACAUUUUAGAGGUGUUAGUUAUUAAGAAUUUCCAAGAGUCCUCCAAGUUUAUAAUUAUUCUAGCGAGUUUUAUUAUGUGACUGAUAAGCCGGCAAGGGUAAUGGUAGAUGUGAAUAUUAAAUCUAUCAAUUUGUAUCAUUAUAUAGCUUUCAAGUCUGGAGAUCCGAGUUUUGGGGAUUUAUGAGAUUAGGGAAGUCAAGCGCUGGUGUUUGUCCAGAUAACUGCGAGUGGAACUCUGAUGAUUAGCAAGCUACAUAAUCUUUUCUAGACUCUGCCUCUUUAACUUGUUAGCAAUAUAUGAUAGUUUCUCAGCUGUGGAUGCUAGCAUCAGGUGACACUUAAACGACUGUCUAUCACUAAGACUCAAGUUUGGGAUAUUAACUGUGAACUUUUGAAGUGGAAUUGGCAGCCAAAUGGAAAUUUCAAUCUCUACUGAUACUGGCUCCUCAGGAGGUCUCAGCAAUAGAUGGUUUUUAUGUUGAUAUUUUUUAGAAAAAUUGAAAAACUAGUCAAAUAGAAGAAAUUGCUGAGCCUGGCUUUUUGAAGGUAUGGUUGUUACCUUCCCUGCUCUAUUUGAAAAAUAGCUUUUGGCCUGGGUUUACCCUCUCUAGUAGUGGUUCCUAAAGAGGAAAAGCUAUAAUAGCUGCUGUUGGCUUCUCGUGGGAAAUUGAGCGCCUUAGGUUUGCUUUGGAUUUAUAUGGUAUAGGUAAGCUGUAGCUCCAAGGUGUUUGGCCUUGUUAUAUUUUGCUGCUAUCCACUUUAAUACAUCGUAAGGUAAUUACUCUCUGGUAUAUAAGAUUUUUGAGUUUUUUUAUUUAAAAAUUGAGCUCUAACUUCUUCUGCUUGGUUCAGGUACUUUAGACUUUAGAGUAUGUGUUUUCUUCAUUUAUACCAUCUUUCAGUUAGCAAGUGCUUUUUGGAUUUAUUAUUUAACUAUUGUUUAGUAGUGGUGAUUGAUCUUACUUUGCCUAUUGUCAUUUAGACAACUGGCCCGGCCAAUUGUACGAUUUUGUCUCAGCUAAUUACAUUAUGGGCUUGUCAGUCUGAUCUCUUCUGAGUCAAAACUGAUUGGUUUUGUCUAUUAUUUUAUGCUUGCUUGCGAUCAUCAUUAUCUUCUUCCUCGUGUUCUUGAGUUCGUGCUGUGAGCAUCGAUCAACCCUUUUGUCAUGGAUUUCUAUGGGACUAGGUGUAGUAAUUCUUGAAGAAUUGUAAGAAAUAGGUAAUCUUGGUUUGGAUGACUGAUCACAAUUUCAAAAACAUAAUUGCUUUUUUAAUUUUCACUUUCAAGAUGAAGGUAGAAAUGGGGACUUUGGACUUCAUAUGCAUAAUGGGUUCUGUAUACGGUAAAGUAGGUGUUCAAUAAGUACUUGCUCAAUUUGUGCCCAUUUCAUAUUAAGGUCUAAUUUUAGAAAAACAUGGAUCAUUUCUUAUGGCUGCCAAAAUGAUUUAUGUCAGUGGUUUUGCUGACAAUUGACAGGGCAUGCUUCUUAUUGCUGAUAUCUACAUGUACUUUCAAAUUUCAAUUGUUGAAAGAGAUGGUAUGGGCUCUGUGUUUAUUCCUUGAUGGUUAUUAUACUAGAAUCAUGUUGCAUGGUGUUUGAAACUUGAAAGAUUAUAGCUGUGGGCAUAUGAACUUCCUUCCUGUUUUUUCAGUUGAAGUAUCACGAAUUUGUGGACAUUUAUUAAAGGAAAGAAAGCAUCGAUAAAGGGUUAAUUAUGAAAUUUGCAGGAAAGAAACCAAAAUGACAGUUCUCUUCUAUCUUAAACAAUCAUGAUAAGCAGAUGGCUUUCACGAGAGCAAUGCUAGUUACAAUUCUAAAUACACCAAUGAGGAUACAGUUUCUGGUGGUGGUGGUACGUCUUAAAGACCAGAACAAUAUAUAUAUUUGAAGUCCAUUUAUGGUACAAUUGGAGUCCUAAAGAUGAUGUUCCACCAAGGUUUGAGACUUGUGAGCAGGCAGAGGAGUAAAGCCAGUAGUCUCAGUUGUGGCACAAAGAAUGAAGUCAUUAAGGUUAUAAGAAUCUUAUCCUGCAGCCAUACAUAUGCCUCGUAUUGGUGGAAGAUUUGCGAGCUUCGGCAAUUGCAGGGAAUUCAAUUGCAUGAAUGAGACAGGAAAGCAAGGGGACAGGUGCUGGUGGGUCAAACACUUGGCAGUCCAGUUACGGGUGUAGCUGACAUAUGGUCCUAUUCGGUGCUGAAUCUGGUUAGUGGUGUGGACCUUCACUUGGGAAUCCAUUUUAAUUGCUAGGCCACUGGCUUGAUAUCUUAGGUUCAUUUUCUUUGGCAAUCAGACAAGAACUACUUAUAGAUGAGAGGAAAGGGUGUAAUUGAUUCAAAUUACAGGAGUUUUUGGGACCUCUUAUUAAAGAGAAGGGUCCUCCUAUUUGUUUGUCAUUUUCCUUCAAAUCCCUUUUAUCCUUUAAUAUAUCCUCUCGCCUUAAUUGA
Long non-coding RNA from Mercurialis annua (annual mercury), 5970 nucleotides. RefSeq lists it as uncharacterized. The record is from RefSeq and is a predicted model, not a curated record. The transcript has 6 exons. NCBI's taxonomy places the organism in Eukaryota, Viridiplantae, Streptophyta, Magnoliopsida, Malpighiales, Euphorbiaceae.